AGAAUCAACGCUGGCGGCGUGCCUAACACAUGCAAGUCGAACGCGAAGACCCCGCAAGGGGUUUGUAGAGUGGCAAACGGGUGAGUAACACGUGGGUGAUCUGCCUCAGAGUGGGGGAUAACGACCCGAAAGGGUCGCUAAUACCGCAUAACAUCCUGCCUUUGGAUAGGUGGAGAUCAAAGCCGGGGAUCGCAAGACCUGGCGCUUGGAGAGGAGCCCGCGGCCGAUUAGCUAGUUGGUGAGGUAAUGGCUCACCAAGGCAACGAUCGGUA
Molecule: ribosomal RNA, 272 nt
Filed under: uncultured bacterium
Lineage: Bacteria
Description: partial small subunit ribosomal RNA
Rfam family: Bacterial small subunit ribosomal RNA
Source: RNAcentral